RNAcentral lists this long non-coding RNA (5205 nucleotides) under Heterocephalus glaber (naked mole-rat). Its description in RNAcentral is "lncRNA (ENSHGLG00000040168.1)". Lineage: Eukaryota; Metazoa; Chordata; Mammalia; Rodentia; Bathyergidae. The record is from RNAcentral.
AGACGCUUCCCUAAUCCUCCACCUUCUCAAGACAUACAAAUCAACAGAUUAAGUGUAACCAGGUUUCCUCGAUUAUUUCCCCUAAAGAUAAAAGAAGCGUAACACCUGCGUCAAGAUGGCCUUUCGGAAGGAUAGCAGGUAGAGGGCCUGCUCUUCUCCAUCUUGCUGGCUUCAGAUGGUACAUUUUGUGUGCCAACUGCUUGUCCUCUGUCCAUUGGGCCUGGUCCAAGGAGAGCGAGUUGACUUGGAUUUGGAAAUAACUUGACCACUUGGGAAGCUUUGUGUUUGUAGCCAGCUGCUUCUGGCCAGGGAUUUGUCUCUGGUAGCACUGCAACCCACUGUUCCUGGGCUCAUCCCAGAACUGGGGACCCACAGCCUUCACCUGACGACGGCACAAGGAAACUGGAACUCUGAGGGAUCUUGAACUCGGAGCUGGAGUCGGGUGAUGGGGAAAUUGAUGACACAACUCUAUUCAGAUACGCAAAAUGCUUCCAUGGUUUUCAAGGAGAGGAAAACAAAGCCUGGGAGACAGGAAGACAGCUGCUGAUGCCGCAUGUCCCUCUGUGUCGGACAUUUAGCUCAUCCGCAGCAUCUUUUUCCUUUUUCUCUCCUAAGGACGUGGACACGUGUCCUAGCCAUAGAGAGGAACACCUUACAGACGAGCAUGGCCUUCCAGACUGCCUGCCCUGCCCUGCCCUGCUCUCGCCCGUCGAGAGUACUGAAGCACCCUGCCUUCUACCUUCUAGCCUGGGCGCACCCGUCCUCAGUCCGAUGCCGGGAAGGAUGCCGGUUCGAUGGCCACCUUCCUCCCUGGACCUAAGUCCUCUGAGGUCAAGCUGUCUCCACCAGUCACUGCAGGACACCUGUGGCCACAUGAGGCCCGGCUCAGGAAGUCUCCCAGGUACCCAACCAAGAAAGGACAAGAGCCUUACCCUGUGGAAAUGUACUUCAACUUUUCCCACACUAUUUACCGGACACUUCAUUAGAGGCUCUCAAGCCUCAGAGAGGACUAGAAGCAUUCUGUAGAGGGUUGUCAUUAUCUUACUUUGCUGCUAAGAGACUGGAGCAAUGACUGGUUAAAACAAUUUGCCAGUGUCCACGCUGUGAGGUGGGAGUACAGCUUGGCGCACUGUCUCUCCUCCUGUCCUGUCACUGUCUCCCACAUGUGUGUUCUGGAAGUGCGCAGCACUGACAAGUCUGCAUCUCGGAGCACCUCUGAGUUUCUCCCCAUCCCCCGGAGAGUACUGCAGCGUCCACGCUGGCUCUUCCCAGGAUGUGUUCCUGCUUUGUCCACAGCAUGCUCAUAAAUAAACAAGUACCUUCGGGAGGGAUGGGAAACUUACCAUGGGGCCAGGAGGACCGUGGGGGCCUGGGGGGCCCGGUGGGCCUAUGAUCUGCGUAUCCAAAAAACAAACAUGGAUUUGGUUACUCCAUUUAGAUAAGGCAGGUCAGCCUGGGUCUUGUGCUCGGCUCUGCUAAGGCCAUUAACAGCCACCGCGAAAGAAAGACUGCAGGAAGUGAUGUUUGGUUUUCUGGGUUUAGAAAUUCCUUCAUGAGAGUCCAAUAGCUUAAAAAACACAGUUGUACGAAUGCCCAAAUGUAUUAAACAUACAUUAAAGGGAAAGAAGCAACUGACUACCAAGAAUGGCUAUAAUGCCACAACCACUGUGAAACUCCAAUAUUUCGCCAUGUGCCGACAGGGAGUCUGGAGAAAAGAAAGAAUAUAAGCUCUACUUUUCACAAAACUCUACCCAUAAGUGCUGUGGGAAAACUGCUGACAUUGUUUUCUUCUUGGAAUUCAACAGCCCUUUGGAAAACUGCUUCUGACCCGGGCAGCUGACACGCGGUGUCUCUCAACACGCGGUGUCUCUCACUGGGCAAGGGGACGGGCUGUCUUGGUGCUCACUCUGCCUGCUGCUGGCGCGCUAUGCCAUGGCUGGCCUGGGGAACUGCAACUCUGCCCGCGCGUUCCGGGAGCCGGGGUGUUCGGCCUGGGCACUUACGGAAGGACCUUGAGGGCCUGGCAGUCCGGAGUCUCCCUUUUCUCCUUUCAUCCCAUUGGCACCCUGCGAAUAACAAGCAGGAGGGCGGCAGGUCGGCAAAGGCAGCUCCAGUGUGUAAGGGACACUGAGCGUCCUCCCCAGCCGCACCCUUCUCUUCAGGUUUUAUAUGAUGAUGCACAAGAUGUAUAAAAGGACUUAUCUCCUUGUAUUUUAGCUUAAAAUAGCACUUACUAAAAUAUCCAGGAUUAUGGGUCAUAAAAUAGAUAAAAAGCUAGGCUGGACUUGAUUAAACUUACACAGUAUUAAAUAUAUUGGGUUAUAAAUGUUGUAUCUUUUAUGGUGGAAUUCAUUUCAAAUAGCAAAGUUAAACCCUUUAACUUCGUUUUCAUGGACAUUUAUUUAUUUACUUUCUUUAAAAAAGAUGUAGGGCAGGAAAGUUCACUACAUUUUAAAAAAUAGCUUCUAUAUUUCCCCUGCAAAUUCUCAGUAAAACUUGGGGAGGGGGGAAACCAUAAAAGCACUGUCUGAUAGCAUCAUGCACACAAGGAGAACACCUUAGAGAAUAAUUUGUCUUUAAUUGUUCUCUACAGAUAUCCUUUUUUUGAGAUAGUCUCGCUAUGAAGUUCAGGCUGCCCUUGAACUCACUAUGUAGCCCAGGCCGGCCUUAAAUUGCAGUGAUCCUCCUGCCUCAGCCUCCCAAGUGCUGGGAUUACAGGUGUGUGCCACAUCUGGCUUGUUCCUUAUUUUUUGAUUUAUCGUGAUAAAAUAAGCCAAAAAGAAAUGUUACCACCAUAUUAUGCAUACUAAAUCAAAGUGACCAGUUAUAUUUAUCUUACCAUCUUCUAAUGAAAACAAUUUAGGAAAGCAUGAGGGUUUACUUUCUAAUGCUUUUGCCUAUAUACUUUUCCAUUUUAGUUCCCCAGUUGGAGUAAUUAGCCACUAAUACUUCAAAUAGUUCAAAAUAAAAAUACUCUAGGAACCAUUGAUUGAGGUUCAGUUAAUAAUUCUUUUCUGGUUUUUAGGUUGUCUUAAAAAGAACAUACCCUAAGAAGUAUAAACAUACCGGUAAUCCAGGAAGCCCAAUUCCUCCUUUUUCACCUGGCACCCCUGGGUCCCCUGUGUCUCCCCUUUGAGCCUUUGAGUCCCUAAAAAUGACAAGAUUUGAAUGUAAGAAGUGCAGCGACCGACAGUUACAUUCAGGGAAAAGAGAAUAUAGAUCUGUUUUCUCAACAGGUGAAUUGAAUGCGGAGAUGACUGUGUUCAUGCUUAGGUAGAGCUGUUUCUUAAAAUCUGCACUGAAUCAAUAUUGAUUCCCCACGUAAGGAAGGGAUUUAAAUUCUAUUAAUCCAUUUAAAUAGGAAAAACACGAACGUAGGUUUUGACAUCACUUCUCCUGGUUUCAUGUUUUACUGGCAGCUAAUUCCAACUUAGCAGUCCUGAAAACAGUGUAACGGCUCUAAUUCUAGCAGUACAGUGUACAAUUUGAAUGAGAAUCUAGUGCUAGAACACAGGUCCAAACAGAGUUCUUCCCUACCUGCUUAUUCUAACUACACGCAGACUUCCAGCCAUCAGUUUUCAGUGGUCCAGGCUCCAGACAGGUAAAUCAUCUACACUAAAGCUCAACGAUGCUUAAAAUCACUUCAACUUUUCCACAGCGUUCUUAUUUUUCUAUCUCUGCGAAGCGAGCCGGGCUGUUUUUAUUUUCCUCUUACAGUGAGGAAAUAGACAAAUGUGCAUUUGGAGUGUUAAUUCUGAAUUGCGUAACUUGAGUACUGAAAUUAACUUCUCUGGUAACCACUUUCAUCGUGGGGAUCUCGGUAUGAGCAGCUGGCCUAGCCUUCAGAGAGGCCGCUCAUGCUCAUGUGGCACGGGGCCUGCAGGCAGCACAAGGGACAGGAACACGUAUGUCCCUUGUGAUCCGAGCCUAUCUUGGGAACUAGUUCAGAACCGUGCAGUGGGUGGGUGAGUGGGGUGCUGCCUGAAAAGGUGGAUCCAUCCUCUCGGCUAAUCAGACCCUUGUGAUGGAAACAGGUGACACGCCCAACUCCCAGAAGGGCCCAAAGCUUAUAGAAAGACCCGAUUAUCGUGUAUGUGGGGCUGUGUAGUGAGUACGGCAUUACACGUGUCAGCUUAUUUAUAAUGACAGCAGGAGGGGUCACACAGCCAGAGCUUUAGAUCCUCAUGUGAUCUUGGUGAGAUAGCAAAUCCAUUAUUUUUUAUCAUACAUUCUUUAGUGUGGCACAUGACUUGAUGUACAACUCUGAUAUUAAAAAUAACACUUCUCAUAAACUUCUUGCCUGAUAGUUUCUCCCAAGGAAUGCAUGUUCACUGGCUGGACCAAGAAUCCCCUCGUAGCCAGGUGUGGUGGCCCAGGCCUCUCCUCCCAGCACUGUGAGAGGCUGAGGCAGAGACACCAGGGCAAGCCCAGCCCAGGGAACUGAAUGACUUAGCGAGAUCCUAAGUCAAAGUGAAAACCAGGAAAAGGGCUGGGGAUGCAGCUCUGUGUGGAGAGCUCUGAAUUCAAUUCCCAGUGCCAGAAAAAAGAAAAAAAAUAAAGAACCCCUUUGAUAUCUUAUAAUCUCUGUGAUUUUAGCCAUUGCUGGCAUAAAUAAGGGAAUCUCAGAAAACAUUAAACAUCUUUAAAUACUCCUUUGAUUCUGAAUGUUGUCCACGUCCUCCUAGGAAGAGUCUUAAGAGGCAGAAGGCACCCAAACCACAGCCCUUGUCCCACGACAGCCUAGGCUGUGUCUUGGUUCAGGCAGAAUUUCCAACAAGUGCUAAAGGGAACAUGUGCUGGAGAUACAUGCAGCCUGCAAAGCCCAAGACAUGAACCUCUGCCUAGGGGAGCCCCGAGGUAACAUACUCUGUAGGACUCUAAAUGCCCCACUUGCUCUGUCUUUUCUAAGGAUCUAGGCAAUUAGUUAUGACCUCUACUUGGGAAAGAAAACAUUGUCAGAAAUACACAUUAGCAGUACCUUGUUUUUUAGUAAUUCAUCCCCAACUUCAGUCUGGAGUCACCUGUACUCACUGACAUUCUUACUAAGUUGGUAACGAUGGUGCAGGUUUAUUAAAAUGCAGAGGAGUCACUGGUAGAUUGGUGGGAGAUACUGAGAACAAACCAAAGUACCAUGUGGCUUUGUGUUUCUGCAAAUAAAAACUAAAGUCAAACUUGAGACCAAUUGCUUUGUCGAGUUCAUGUGGC